ACCGCUUUGGCGGUACGUAUCCUCAAAUUGAAACGAUAUCGGGAAGAACAGCAUGGCCCUGCGCAAGGGUGAAAAAAAGUGGUUAGAGUUCAAGCUUCGUAAU
This is a small nuclear RNA of Schistocerca nitens (vagrant locust), 103 nucleotides long. The record is from RefSeq and is a predicted model, not a curated record. Lineage: Eukaryota; Metazoa; Arthropoda; Insecta; Orthoptera; Acrididae.